This 95-nucleotide ribosomal RNA is filed under the name uncultured bacterium. Its description in RNAcentral is "partial 16S ribosomal RNA". The record is from RNAcentral.
CACACCACGGGAGUUGGCAAUGCCCAAAGACCCCGCCUUGAGCGCAAAUAUUUGCGAGCAGAGCGGGGUCAAAGGCAGGGUCAAUGACUAGGGUG